RNAcentral lists this long non-coding RNA (312 nucleotides) under Helianthus annuus (common sunflower). Its description in RNAcentral is "sRNA HanXRQr2_Chr14g0631251". The record is from RNAcentral. Lineage: Eukaryota; Viridiplantae; Streptophyta; Magnoliopsida; Asterales; Asteraceae.
CCCCAUCGCUCACUCCACUCUCGAAAACACCUUCCGAAUAUCCUUGCACAUUGCCGGAGAUCGAAGCUCGCCGGAGACGAAGACGACGUCGGAACUCGGUCCAGGCUCAAAUCGUCUUGAUCGGAUAAUCUUCGUUGGUCCAAGUUUCUCAAUCUUUACUCGUGCAUUAUUUUACAAGAAACGCAACGCAAUCAAGCAACUUGAACAAUGUUGAAAAGUGGUUGCUAGUCAAGAUGAUCAAGAAACAAGCUAGGAUGGCUUUAGAUACCCAUUUUAGCAGUUAAACAAUGUUUGAAUAUAUGUUUACUAUUU